ACAUGAAUGCUGAGCCUUUCAUUGUGCUCCAUGCCAGAGCAAACUGUUGCUCAGAACCACUGUCUGGCCUCUGUGCACACAGGCUACGUACGCUGAAGCAGGUAGCAUGAAA
Molecule: small nucleolar RNA, 112 nt
Filed under: Tupaia belangeri (northern tree shrew)
Lineage: Eukaryota; Metazoa; Chordata; Mammalia; Scandentia; Tupaiidae
Description: Small nucleolar RNA SNORA42/SNORA80 family (ENSTBEG00000018128.1)
Source: RNAcentral